CUUGUACACACCGCCCGUCACACCACGGGAGUGGGUUGCACCAGAAGUAGCUAGUCUAACCUUCGGGAGGACGGUUACCACGGUGUGAUUCAUGACUGGGGUG
RNAcentral lists this ribosomal RNA (103 nucleotides) under uncultured bacterium. RNAcentral describes it as "partial 16S ribosomal RNA". It matches the Rfam family "Bacterial small subunit ribosomal RNA", at positions 1380 to 1482 of the family's 1533-position model. The record is from RNAcentral.